AUGAACAACGCUCCUCCUCGUGCCCGUAUACGGCUGAUGACGUAUGCAAAGCCUUGUUUGAUGUUGGGGACCUUAAAGCCCCCGGGGCCGGAUGGGCUGCACACUAUUUUCUAUAAAAGGUUUUGGCCGGUGUUAGGAGACGAUCUAAUCGAGGAGAUUUUGCAAGUGGAGAAUACAUGUACUAUUCCAUUUGGCUAG
RNAcentral lists this ribosomal RNA (198 nucleotides) under Triticum aestivum (bread wheat). Its description in RNAcentral is "partial small subunit ribosomal RNA". Lineage: Eukaryota; Viridiplantae; Streptophyta; Magnoliopsida; Poales; Poaceae. The record is from RNAcentral.